CGGACGGGUGAGUAACGCGUGGGUAACCUGCCUCAUACAGGGGGAUAACAGUUAGAAAUGACUGCUAAUACCGCAUAAGACCACAGCAUCGCAUGGUGCAGGGGUAAAAACUCCGGUGGUAUGAGAUGGACCCGCGUCUGAUUAGGUAGUUGGUGGGGUAACGGCCUACCAAGCCGACGAUCAGUAGCCGACCUGAGAGGGUGACCGGCCACAUUGGGACUGAGACACGGCCCAA
RNAcentral lists this ribosomal RNA (235 nucleotides) under uncultured bacterium. Its description in RNAcentral is "partial 16S ribosomal RNA". It matches the Rfam family "Bacterial small subunit ribosomal RNA", at positions 99 to 334 of the family's 1533-position model. The record is from RNAcentral.